Rattus norvegicus (Norway rat) is the source of this 1429-nucleotide non-coding RNA. NCBI's taxonomy places the organism in Eukaryota, Metazoa, Chordata, Mammalia, Rodentia, Muridae. The record is from RefSeq and is a predicted model, not a curated record.
GCUUUCACACACACACACACACACACACACACACACACACACACACACACACACACACACACAUCCUACUUCCCUAACUCAAACCCUGUCCUAACCACAACGAGCUGUUUCCUGCCACUCAAGCAAAUUCUGCUCAUUGUAGGACGUGCCUGCCUAUGUACUUACGACACUCUUUCUGUGGAAACUCCUCUGCCUCAUCUCUUCCCCCCCGGAAGCUGUGUUUAUUGGUUCCCCAGUGUUGUUUACUCCCAUCUUUGUCUGUCUAUCGCAUACACUGCUGUGGCGUUCGUGAACAUUAGGCAGAAAUUUGUCUGAUAAAAUCAUCUAUUUUUAACAUGAAAAUUUGUUUAAGGGGCCACUAUGUGACGGGAUGAAGACGAGGAUGUAGUCCCCACCUUCUUGGAUGUCUGCGACCAUGGGUGUUCUCGGACACUGCUACAGAAUGCGUGACGAGGUGGCUGCGUGCAUAGACGGUAUCUAGGCCAGGCUGAGAUGGCGUGCGGUACCAGGAAGACUUCCUAGAGGAGCUGCCUGAGGAUCUGGAUGUAGGACUCUCGGCUAGUUCUCCAGCAUCAUGUCUGCCUGUAUGCCGCCAUGCUUCCUGCCACGAUGCUGUACACCUCAACUUUUAAACUAAGCCAUGUCCUGCAUUGAAUCCGAUGCUGUCUAUUAUCAUCUUUUGAUAAUAUGUGUGAACUAAGAAGAGCAGAGAAGUUAACUAGCUUAUUGAAAGCAACCUGCCUGGCAGCCUGUUAAACAGAAGACAUCGAUCCAUCUCUUCAGAGGAUGGAGUGGAAUUUGGCCAAGAUCCUGCAGCUGGAGAGCUCACAGACUUAGAGGUGAACCUACUACCAUUGUUUUGUUAACUGGACAUAGUGUCAGACUGCCGUGUAAGUACUUAUCACUAAACUAAUAGGUAAGUGCAACUCUCAGUCCUCUCUAGAGAAGCUUCUUUUUCUAAUACAGAGUCACACCUGGUCAAAGUGCAAAGAAGUGAUGUCUGUGGAGUGCUCAGCCAUAGUAGAUGUGACAUCUAUAUCAUGUUACCUCCACACAGGCUCAGGGAACACUGAGGAGGAGGAGGUGGUGGUGGAAGGAUUGUUAAGAGGUAGAGGUCUGGGAUGACUGGACUCUUCUGGACAUGACCACUGCACUCAUGAAUUCACAGCAGCCAUGGUUGCCUGUUAAAGAUCUGUACAAGAGCAAGCAGUCAACAUUCCAGUGUGAAUGGAGCCUAGAAGCCCCACCCCUAGCUGAAGAACUAUUGGCCUUUGAUGGCUGCUAGGGUGAGUCGGUUUUCUUUAGAGAUGGGUCCCUGACCACGCUCUAGUGGAUGGUUUUACAGGCAUGCAUGUGUGGGAAACAUUAACUGGCCUCAGUGGGUUAAGAAACAACGAAAAAGAGGCCAUGGAGUUGAGAGGGCGCAUAG